AGACCCGAAACCCGGUGAUCUAGCCAUGGGCAGGUUGAAGGUUGGGUAACACUAACUGGAGGACCGAACCGACUAAUGUUGAAAAAUUAGCGGAUGACCUGUGGCUGGGGGUGAAAGGCCAAUCAAACCGGGAGAUAGCUGGUUCUCCCCGAAAGCUAUUUAGGUAGCGCCUCGUGAAUUCAUCUCCGGGGGUAGAGCACUGUUUCGGCUAGGGGGCCAUCCCGGCUUACCAACCCGAUGCAAACUGCGAAUACCGGAGAAUGUUAUCACGGGAGACACACGGCGGGUGCUAACGUCCGUCGUGAAGAGGGAAACAACCCAGACCGCCAGCUAAGGUCCCAAAGUCAUGGUUAAGUGGGAAACGAUGUGGGAAGGCCCAGACAGCCAGGAUGUUGGCUUAGAAGCAGCCAUCAUUUAAAGAAAGCGUAAUAGCUCACUGGUCGAGUCGGCCUGCGCGGAAGAUGUAACGGGGCUAAACCAUGCACCGAAGCUGCGGCAGCGAACGUAUCACUUAAAGCGAUUCAGCGGGUUACGAUUGACGGAGCGAAGCGACGUCAAAGCGUAUACAAAGUCGAGUCGGUUUAAGGAUACGUUCGUUGGGUAGGGGAGCGUUCUGUAAGCCUGCGAAGGUGGCCUGUGAGGGUUGCUGGAGGUAUCAGAAGUGCGAAUGCUGACAUAAGUAACGAUAAAGCGGGUGAAAAGCCCGCUCGCCGGAAGACCAAGGGUUCCUGUCCAACGUUAAUCGGGGCAGGGUGAGUCGACCCCUAAGGCGAGGCCGAAAGGCGUAGUCGAUGGGAAACGGGUUAAUAUUCCCGUACUUGGUGUUACUGCGAAGGGGGGACGGAGAAGGCUAUGUUGGCCGGGCGACGGUUGUCCCGGUUUAAGCGUGUAGGUGUGUGUUCCAGGUAAAUC
Molecule: ribosomal RNA, 912 nt
Filed under: Salmonella enterica subsp. enterica
Lineage: Bacteria; Pseudomonadati; Pseudomonadota; Gammaproteobacteria; Enterobacterales; Enterobacteriaceae
Also listed under: 1 other name
Description: partial 23S ribosomal RNA
Rfam family: Bacterial large subunit ribosomal RNA
Source: RNAcentral